Populus euphratica (Euphrates poplar) is the source of this 598-nucleotide long non-coding RNA. RefSeq lists it as uncharacterized. The record is from RefSeq and is a predicted model, not a curated record. Lineage: Eukaryota; Viridiplantae; Streptophyta; Magnoliopsida; Malpighiales; Salicaceae. The transcript has 2 exons.
GCAUCACAUUGACAGCUACCUUGUAUUGACCGAAACGACAGCAACCAUAAAUGAGGCUGUCAGUUGAUCAAGUUGCAAUCUUGGAGUGUUUCGACUUUCGAUAGAUUAGCACAUUGAAAAAAAAAAAAUCUUGGAAAAUAUUACAGGUGAAAAAAUAAUUAAAAAAAUGAAACGUAAAGAGUCGUAAUUCACAGAUGUCAUCAAUCUGCGGUUCAUAUUUCUCAUAGAACAUCUCCAGCAUCGCCAUGGAUGGCCUUUUAGCUCUCUCCCAUGAUCCAAAAACUUUGUUUUGCAAAAUAAUUAGCAGCCCAUCCGUUGCAACCAAGCCGCCACCCUCUCUUAAGAAAAAAAAAUAUCACAGAUUUUUUUUUUCCCUCACCACCAAUAAUAGCCACCCGAAACUCACCACCAUUUUUUUCUUUUCUUUCACAACUUAGGACAUGCUCCACCACAUUGUCGUAUGUUCCUCCUCUCAGCCAGAGUUUGACCCACCACCAGAAUUAACUUCCCCUGUCACCAUCAAACCUCUCUCUUCACCACCAAGCAGUCCUGACCAAAUCAAACCCGUAAGCUGUUGCAGCCUCUCUUCAACUAAAAA